UAAUAACAGAAGAAUUAUAUCUAUAUUCAUUUAUGUGCUGUUGGGAUUAAGGCAAGUAUUUGUAUAGAGUGGUAAAUAAUGAAAUGUUUCCCAGAGUCUGACUUUUUUCUUUUUUUCAAUCUUUCCUAUGGGCAGACACAUGAGGAGGACACCAAAGAACUCACUUCUCACAUUAUUGUUAGAAGAAACUCCAAGAGAGGUCUAAAGAGGAGAGAAAGAGAAGGAGGUGGAGAUGAGCAGCCUUACAGCAACUGUGAAUCUGCCAACAGCCUGGAGGUGGGAGGACCUCUGUACAGAUCAACAGAGAAGAUCUCCUGGAGGAAGAGCAUUGACUUAAGUCAUGGAACCACCUACCUCUUUCUACUUAAAGGCAUAUUGCAUCUCUUACUUCCUUUUGGCCAAGGGACAAGAGGAAAUAGAAAGAAAAGAAAGGUUCUCUCACAAGGCUGCUAUCAAGAUUUUUGGCCAGGGAUGGGGUCUAAUCUGAAGCUAGAUUGAAGAAGGAUCCUCUUCCAAAUUUACAUGAUUGUUGGUUGCCAGGAUUAAGUUCCUUGUGGGCUGUUGGACUGAAGGUUCCAAUUCCUAGUUGACUAGUUGCUGGAGGCUGCCCUUGGUUCCUUGCUAUGUGGGCCUCUCCAUUUGGAAGUCUGCUUCAUCAAAGCUAACAAGGGAUAGAGUCUCCUAGCAAGAUGGAAGUUACAAUCUUGGGUAAUAAAAUCAUAGACAUGACAGAGCGUCCCCUUUGUUGAAUACUGCUGGUUGGAAGCAAGUCACAUUUUCCACUCACACCAAAGGGAGGGAACUAUACAAAGUUAUGAAUAUAGGAGACAGGGCUAAUUUGGAGCCAUCUUAGUGUCUGUCCAUCAUAGAAACAUUAGAUGCAAUUACCAGAGGUUGGGGUAAGUCCUCUAUUCCUAAUCAUAGUCUUUGUAACAGAAAGCCUUUAAUAUAAAGGUGGGAGUGGGAAUCGAAUCCAGGAUGACAGACAUUCUGAACUGAUAGAUGAAACAUAGUAGUGGAAAAUGUAUAACUCACUUAAAUUCUAGGUGAUCUGGCAGAUAGGUAGCCAGAGAGCCAUUCAUUUCAGGGAAAUGUUUCAGUAACACCUGAAAGAAGAUAAGGUCUAGAUGUUGGUUCUGGGAGACACUGACAGGAGUAAGCCAGAGUGGAUCUAAGUAGUUUACUAAAGUAGAAGCUUAUAUCUGGGGGGAAAAAGCAAAGUCCCAUUUGCCAGAAUUAUAGAGUAAAGAACUUUAAAAAUCUAAGUUCUUAUCUAGGCUCAGAUUUCUGUGUGGUCAGGGAGAUUGUAUCUAUGGAUUUAUCAAUAAGUAUGUUAGAUUUUGAUUGUUCAAGGUGAGAGAGUGGGGAGCUUGCUCCUUUUGGGGAAGAAAAGCACCGAUGGGCUCUCUGCUUAUUGCUACUGGCUGAGGCCACCCUGCCAUGGCUACCUAGGAAACCUGUGCAGUACAUGGGUGUAAGGAAGCUUGGUGGUCAGAAAUAGGAGUAACUGGCAGCUGCACUGUUGAACUACAGGUGGAGGCAACAAGUAGCCAGAAAGUGGAUUCCCAAUUCUAUAUCUACUCAACUCCCAUCAUUUCUGCUAUUCCUGCUGGACCGCAAGCUGAAAGUGGCUCAUUUGCAUACCAUUUUUAAACAUCUAAAUGCACAGAUCUAGCAUUGAAAAUAGAUCUAGUUUCUAUUUUUUUUAAACAAAGGUCUUUCAAUGUACUCUUUCCUGAUCUCCAAGACUUGGAAGCUGUUGAAAUCUUUUCUGGUACUUUGAAAAAUACAGAAUUGUCUAUGUAGUCCUCUCUGGAUCAGAAUAUGAAGGUGAAAAACCUAGAAUGCCUUCCAAGUACACACACAUUGAAGCAUUCUGUAAAGAGACAGAGUUAUCUAUUACAAAGUCCAGCAAAGCCUUCUAGCAGCCUCCAUCCUAACCAUUCACCAGAUGCUAAAACAAAUAAAUUGAAUCACAACUCCCAGUUGAUAUCAGCUGGAAAAAAAUUGAGAAAUUGAGAACCAUUUUUUAUUUUAGUUUUCUUUGAAAAAUAAAUCAUAUAUUAUGGAAAGAGGAGCUUUCUAUUUGUGUUUGAAUAAAAUUUUUGCCUGAGUUCUUUGUGGUAGUAAUAUGUAUAAUAUGUAUGACUUGGA
This 2154-nucleotide long non-coding RNA is filed under the name Mustela putorius furo (domestic ferret). RNAcentral's name for it is "lncRNA (ENSMPUG00000031499.1)". Lineage: Eukaryota; Metazoa; Chordata; Mammalia; Carnivora; Mustelidae. The record is from RNAcentral.